CUAUCUACAGGCUUAACACAUGCAAGUCGAGGGGCAGCAUGGUCUUAGCUUGCUAAGGCCGAUGGCGACCGGCGCACGGGUGAGUAACGCGUAUCCAACCUGCCUUACACUCUUGGACAGCCUUCUGAAAGGGAGAUUAAUACAAGAUGUUAUCAUGAGUAAGCAUUUUCGCAUGAUUAAAGGUUUACCGGUGUAAGAUGGGGAUGCGUUCCAUUAGAUAGUAGGCGGGGUAACGGCCCACCUAGUCUUCGAUGGAUAGGGGUUCUGAGAGGAAGGUCCCCCACAUUGGAACUGAGACACGGUCCAAACUCCUACGGGAGGCAGCAGUGAGGAAUAUUGGUCAAUGGACGAGAGUCUGAACCAGCCAAGUAGCGUGAAGGAUGAAGGUUCUAUGGAUUGUAAACUUCUUUUAUACGGGAAUAAACGGAUCCACGUGUGGAUUUUUGCAUGUACCGUAUGAAUAAGGAUCGGCUAACUCCGUGCCAGCAGCCGCGGUAAUACGGAGGAUCCGAGCGUUAUCCGGAUUUAUUGGGUUUAAAGGGAGCGUAGAUGGGUUGUUAAGUCAGUUGUGAAAGUUUGCGGCUCAACCGUAAGAUUGCAAUUGAUACUGGCAGUCUUGAGUACAGUUGAGGUAGGCGGAAUUCGUGGUGUAGCGGUGAAAUGCUUAGAUAUCACGAAGAACUCCGAUUGCGAAGGCAGCUUACUAACCUGUAACUGACAUUGAUGCUCGAAAGUGUGGGUAUCAAACAGGAUUAGAUACCCUGGUAGUCCACACGGUAAACGAUGAAUACUCGCUGUAGGCGAUAUACAGUCUGCGGCCAAGCGAAAGCAUUAAGUAUUCCACCUGGGGAGUACGCCGGCAACGGUGAAACUCAAAGGAAUUGACGGGGGCCCGCACAAGCGGAGGAACAUGUGGUUUAAUUCGAUGAUACGCGAGGAACCUUACCCGGGCUUAAAUUGCAACCGAAUAUGGCGGAAACGCUAUAGCUAGCAAUAGCGGUUGUGAAGGUGCUGCAUGGUUGUCGUCAGCUCGUGCCGUGAGGUGUCGGCUUAAGUGCCAUAACGAGCGCAACCCUUGCCGAUAGUUACUAACAGGUUAUGCUGAGGACUCUGUCGGGACUGCCAUCGUAAGAUGUGAGGAAGGUGGGGAUGACGUCAAAUCAGCACGGCCCUUACGUCCGGGGCUACACACGUGUUACAAUGGGGGGUACAGAGGGCUGCUACCACGCAAGUGGAUGCCAAUCCCAAAAACCUCUCUCAGUUCGGAUUGAAGUCUGCAACCCGACUUCAUGAAGCUGGAUUCGCUAGUAAUCGCGCAUCAGCCACGGCGCGGUGAAUACGUUCCCGGGCCUUGUACACACCGCCCGUCAAGCCAUGGGAGCCGGGGGUACCUGAAGUGCGUAACCGCAAGGAGCGCCCUAGGGUAAAACUGGUGACUGGG
Molecule: ribosomal RNA, 1441 nt
Filed under: uncultured organism
Description: SSU rRNA
Rfam family: Bacterial small subunit ribosomal RNA
Source: RNAcentral